AGAGUGAACGCUGGCGGCAGGCCUAAUACAUGCAAGUCGAACGGCAGCACAGCAGAGCUUGCUCUGUGGGUGGCGAGUGGCGGACGGGUGAGGAAUACAUGGGAAUCUGCCCAGUCGUGGGGGAUAACGUAUGGAAACGUACGCUAAUACCGCAUGCGCCCUUCGGGGGAAAGCCGGGGACCUUCGGGCCUGGCGCGAUUGGAUGAGCCCAUGUCGGAUUAGCUAGUUGGCGGGUAAAGCCCACCAAGGCGACGAUCCGUAGCUGGUCUGAGAGGAUGAUCAGCCACACUGGAACUGAGACACGGUCCAGACUCCUACGGGAGCAGCAGUAGGGAAUAGUGGACAAGUGGGCGCAAGCCUGAUCCAGCCAUGCCGCGUGAGUGAAGAGGCCUUGGUGUAAGCUCUUCGAGCGGAAAGAAACGCGACGGUUAAUACCCUGUGUGA
This 444-nucleotide ribosomal RNA is filed under the name uncultured soil bacterium. Its description in RNAcentral is "bacterial SSU rRNA". It matches the Rfam family "Bacterial small subunit ribosomal RNA", at positions 26 to 472 of the family's 1533-position model. The record is from RNAcentral.